UCAAAUAAGAGAAAGGAGAGGGUGCAUUGUGUCGGGUGGAAGAAGGGAGUAUUAGCAUGCUAACUAAAUUUCUUUGCCACCUUGAAUAUCUCCCAAAAUCCAUUGAGAUAUUAAAAAGAGAAAGAUUAGGUAUUCAAGUAUGAAGAAAGAGAAGAUGAGAGUUAGCAAAGAAAACAUUCUCUCUUAUUUUUCUCUCACGCACCCGCCCACUUAGAAAAAAAAAAGAGAAAGAGAUCAGCCACUAAAGAAGGCAAAGGAGAAAGAAGAAGAAGGAAGAGAGCAAUAAGAAAGGUAUAACACCCUAAUUUAGUUUAUUCCUUUUAUUAUGUUUGAUUUUGAUGAGCUAUCAAGUUAUGAUUUUGAACUUUAAAAAAACUUUAGAUGUACAUGUUAUAUAGUGUAUUUUGUA
This 409-nucleotide long non-coding RNA is filed under the name Panax ginseng (ginseng). RNAcentral describes it as "long non-coding RNA (PGIN_LNC002614)". The record is from RNAcentral. Lineage: Eukaryota; Viridiplantae; Streptophyta; Magnoliopsida; Apiales; Araliaceae.